UGGGGAAUUUUGGACAAUGGGCGAAAGCCUGAUCCAGCAAUGCCGCGUGUGUGAAGAAGGCCUUCGGGUUGUAAAGCACUUUUGUCCGGAAAGAAAUCCUUGGCUCUAAUACAGUCGGGGGAUGACGGUACCGGAAGAAUAAGCACCGGCUAACUACGUGCCAGCAGCCGCGGUAAUACGUAGGGUACAAGCGUUAAUCGGAAUUACUGGGCGUAAAGCGUGCGCAGGCGGUUUGCUAAGACCGAUGUGAAAUCCCCGGGCUCAACCUGGGAACUGCAUUGGUGACUGGCAGGCUAGAGUAUGGCAGAGGGGGGUAGAAUUCCACGUGUAGCAGUGAAAUGCGUAGAGAUGUGGAGGAAUACCGAUGGCGAAGGCAGCCCCCUGGGCCAAUACUGACGCUCAUGCACGAAAGCGUGGGGAGCAAACAGGAUUAGAUACCCUGGUAGUCCACGCCCUAAAACGAUGUCAACUAGUUGUUGGGGAUUCAUUUCCUUAGUAACGUAGCUAACGCGUGAAGUUGACCGCCUGGGGAGUACGGUCGCAAGAUUAAAACUCAAAGGAAUUGACGGGGUCAU
This 575-nucleotide ribosomal RNA is filed under the name uncultured bacterium. RNAcentral describes it as "partial 16S ribosomal RNA". It matches the Rfam family "Bacterial small subunit ribosomal RNA", at positions 355 to 922 of the family's 1533-position model. The record is from RNAcentral.